RNAcentral lists this ribosomal RNA (681 nucleotides) under uncultured Vibrionaceae bacterium. RNAcentral describes it as "bacterial SSU rRNA". It matches the Rfam family "Bacterial small subunit ribosomal RNA", at positions 11 to 671 of the family's 1533-position model. Lineage: Bacteria; Pseudomonadati; Pseudomonadota; Gammaproteobacteria; Vibrionales; Vibrionaceae. The record is from RNAcentral.
GUUUGAUCCUGGCUCAGAUUGAACGCUGGCGGCAGGCCUAACACAUGCAAGUCGAGCGGAAACGACACUAACAAUCCUUCGGGUGCGUUAAUGGGCGUCGAGCGGCGGACGGGUGAGUAAUGCCUAGGAAAUUGCCUUGAUGUGGGGGAUAACCAUUGGAAACGAUGGCUAAUACCGCAUAAUGCCUACGGGCCAAAGAGGGGGACCUUCGGGCCUCUCGCGUCAAGAUAUGCCUAGGUGGGAUUAGCUAGUUGGUGAGGUAAUGGCUCACCAAGGCGACGAUCCCUAGCUGGUCUGAGAGGAUGAUCAGCCACACUGGAACUGAGACACGGUCCAGACUCCUACGGGAGGCAGCAGUGGGGAAUAUUGCACAAUGGGCGAAAGCCUGAUGCAGCCAUGCCGCGUGUAUGAAGAAGGCCUUCGGGUUGUAAAGUACUUUCAGUUGUGAGGAAGGGGGUGUAGUUAAUAGCUGCAUCUCUUGACGUUAGCAACAGAAGAAGCACCGGCUAACUCCGUGCCAGCAGCCGCGGUAAUACGGAGGGUGCGAGCGUUAAUCGGAAUUACUGGGCGUAAAGCGCAUGCAGGUGGUUCAUUAAGUCAGAUGUGAAAGCCCGGGGCUCAACCUCGGAACUGCAUUUGAAACUGGUCAUCUAGAGUACUGUAGAGGGGGGUAGAAUUUCA